Condylura cristata (star-nosed mole) is the source of this 1864-nucleotide long non-coding RNA. RefSeq lists it as uncharacterized. The transcript has 5 exons. The record is from RefSeq and is a predicted model, not a curated record. NCBI's taxonomy places the organism in Eukaryota, Metazoa, Chordata, Mammalia, Eulipotyphla, Talpidae.
UUCAGUGCUGUAUUGUUGAGUUUUGUAUGAACUAAUCUAGCUUCACUAAGAAAAAAAAAAAGAAAGAAAAGAAAAGGAAGAAAGAAGAAAAAAAAAGAAAAAAAAAAGAACCACAGCUUUGGACAGAAGUCUAUAGCCAGUGCAUUUGAAACUCCCCUUGCACAAGGGCUGACUGUAGCUGGGGGAAGACAGUUUACUCAUUUGCUCUCUCCUUUCAUACAGUCAGCUGUUCCCUCUUCUCAGGUGUAGAUCACCUAUUAUCAUUUCACCUGUUUUGAUUCUCUGAUGAGCAAAGUCCCAGGACUUAUCAGCUGGGAUAGGCCUCAUUUACAAGACAACUCUGUUCAGUAUUUGGAAGAAAGAAAGCCUGACAGGUUUCUCCGGAAAAGUGGCCAUCCAUGGAAUGAAUGAAAUGUUCCCUUUCUAUUCCAGGGAUUGCAGUGGCAAAGCUAGGCUAGGUCUUGGAGGCUGGUGUAAGGCGAAGCGGGUGAAGGCAGGAGGCUGAUGGAGAGGCUGAGGGGAAGAAAAGCCGAAAUGGAUUCACAGUGCCUUGGAUGGAGGAUGAGAGGAGAAUUGCAAGCUCCUUCAACUCGUUCUGUCCGGUGAGAAGUGAUCAAGCUUGGGCUGACAAGAGGCUCAGGGAGCCCUCACGUUCUUUCGCUUUUUUACCUGCCAAUCAAACUGCUACAAGACAACACCCUGAUCUGGCAUGGACAUCACGGUCCAAGCCUGUAGCCCCAAAUCGGAUAAUCUCUGCAGCUGAUAACAAGCAAAAGAGAAGCCAGGCAACAGCCAUAUUAAAGAAGAAAACAAUCAACUCUGAGGAUGCUACCAUGAAAUUUUUAUUUUCUCUGGCAAAACAGAGUUCUUUCUGAGAGUUCAACUGUGGACUCAGUAUGUAAAUGUGGUCAUCAAGCAAGACGGAACUGCCAGAAGGGAAGAUUGUGAAAGUUUCUCUUUAAAAAAAAAAAAAAUUCCUUUACAGCAUUCCUUCUUUCUCUGGUACUUUACUCUUUCGCCUUUUUCCAGCACUGUUGAAAAUGACUGCAAAGCAACAUUGUGGGAAUACAGCCAAUUGCCCUUUGUAGUUGUUGAGGUGGUGUUUCAUCUGAGUCAUUUGUAAAAAGUAGAUUUUGAGCAGGGGUGAGAGUCAUUUUGGAAGAGGGGUGAGGGAGAGUUUGAAGAAGGGAAUAAGGGGGAGGGAACCAAGCAGUUUAUACACAUCUAUACUCUUUGUGUUUGAAGGCCUCUCAGUCUUGGCUUCUCACUAUGUUAAAUCCCUAUUAUAAAACUUAUCUUCACAAAGCCUAUUAUGGUAUUCUGAGAACAAAUUGGACCAUGAAUAACUUAGUUGGAAGUGUAGAUUAUUUUCUACUCAGGGAAAGUUAGAGAUGACAACAGCUUAACUAAAGAAUAGUGAUUAAUCUUAAAUAGAUGGAUUUCAAAGUUUCACUUUUGAUAAAGAGUACCUUUGAUAUUUCCUCUCUUUAGACUCAAGUUUCCACUUUCUUUGUGUUAAGAAAUUGUUCUAGUGAUUGCCCUGUCCACCCAAUGUAGCAUGGCUCUAACAGGCCAUUUGCAUACAAGUUGUUAAUAUGCCUAAAAGCUGACCAGAGACACUCUAUUUCCUGUUAGUUAAGGACAUUGUUCCAAAGUGAUGUCUGUGCACAGACAUCAAACCCACUGUCAGGAAUGAUAUCUUGCAUACAUGAAAAUUGCUCAAUUACACAACAUUUAUCAUUGAAGAACAUCUUACAUUUGUUUAAUGUCCUAGAACUUACAAAGAACUUCUUGGUUUAUAAUCCUUGUUUGAUCUUUAUUAUUUUGUAAAGGAUUUAUUUUUAUUUAUUUAUGCGUAAAAGAA